This is a long non-coding RNA of Mytilus californianus (California mussel), 2810 nucleotides long. RefSeq lists it as uncharacterized. The transcript has 3 exons. The record is from RefSeq and is a predicted model, not a curated record. NCBI's taxonomy places the organism in Eukaryota, Metazoa, Mollusca, Bivalvia, Mytilida, Mytilidae.
UUAACAGUUGCAAACAGUUUACUGAAAACGGCAACAUAGCAGAGCUUUAAAAUGCAAUAUGACCUUUGAUAUGUAGAAAUCUAAAAUGGAAUUAUCAUUGUUAUACUCAGGGACAGUUUUAUCAAUAGUCACAUUUUUAUUCGGAGAGUCAUCAGGCCUAGAAUGCAUAUCAUGUGAAUGGGCUGCGGGGGAAACAACGGAAACUGGAUGUGUAUCUGCACCUUUCAGAGAAAACUCUACGCGAUGUGAACAAACAGUUGGAAACGAAAACUACAUCUGUGAGACAAAAGUGAUGUUCAGAACCGAGUUGGACAAUCAUUACCUUUCAAGUGUGACUAGGAAAUGUGUAUUAGAACAUGGAUAUUGUGACAAUCAUUGCGAUCCUAUGUCUGACAUAGACUGUUUCAUCUGCUGCAAUGCCAACAACAAAUGUAACAGCAUGCCAUUGUCAUCUGAAUUUUUACCUGUUCAUCUUACCUACAAUAUUACAAAUAUGGCAGCAGAUGGUAUAUUUAGAAGUGGAACUUACUUAUUUAGUUUUACCAUUUUUUCUACUGUAAACUUUCUGGUGUUUUAACUUUUUACUAUAAUAAAUGUUUUUAAUCAGUGGUGAAUUCAAAGAAAAAUUCACAUAAUAGCACUUCUAUAGGUAUUUUUACUUUUAAUGUGUUGUUUGGUUGCUGUCUCACUUCUGUAUAUCAUAUAUUGAUUAUACAUAUCUGUUUGUAGAAUUAGAUAGGAAACAAUAUAAUGUACUCCGUAUAAUGUAUCAAAGGUCUUUGUGUUUAUCACUACAUGACCCUACAUGGAACAACUGCAGGUAUUAUGUGAGUGUUGUAACAGUAUACAUAAAUUUUAUUUCUUGAUGUUAAUUAUAGGUUUAAUUGUUUUUUCUCAUUGUUGGUUGUGAUAUUUUUUUUAUUCUGGUUUAAUCAAAAAUAUUUUUAUGAAAUUACUUACCAGUAAAUCUUAAAUAAUCAAAGUAUACAGAUAAAGCUAAUCCCUAUGAGCACUUUUUUUUAAAGAAUGGCAUUUUAUUUUAUCCCCAUAUCUAUCAUAAACAAAUUUACUUAUGGAUUCUGGAUCUUAAGAGGCUUUAUUUUUCAAUCAUUACUCUAUUUCAGAAAUAAUAUAAUACCCCUUGCAUUCUAAGUUGUGUCAAGAUUCCUGAACACUAAAACAAAUGCACUAGCACAAAAUCAAUUAGGAUAUCUAUAUUCCAGAUCAAUAUUCAAUCCAAUAAACUAAUCAAAGUCAGGUAAAGAUAUCAUUUUCUGAAACAAAGCUGAUUGAAUGAGUCUAUCAAUAAAACAUACCUACUUAUUAAAGGACAUUAGAGUACUCUUUAGUGAAUGUUGGACUAUAAAUCAUAUAAAUUUGAUAAAAUUCAACCAGCUGCUGUUAGGUUAAACAUUUACUGAACGCAUUAGCAAUAUGCCCAAUUUAAUACUGUAUGCUACUUCUUAUCAAACAGGGACUUGCAUAUAUAUUUUUAAAGCUACACUUACAUCAUUUGAUUUAAAAAAUAUAUAUUUAUGUAAAAAAUGGUUUUAAAUUAAUGUAAACAUAUCAACUUUGAGUUUAAUUUCUAAUGAAAUGUUGUCUAAAGUGCCAUAUACAUUUUAUGAACUGUAUUGUAUUUUACCAUAUCAAAAUAAAAUUGUUAAUUAUUUUUGUCAUAUUUCUCUUCCAAUGAUCUGUUCUAUAAAUAGGUGGGUCUGAAAACUAUAUAUUACAAUUCAAUAUUAUAUAUAUAUAUACCAAGGAGCUGUUAAAUAUAAUAUCAUAUUCAGAUCUUGUUGUUAAUGUUUCAGAGGACCAAAUGCUAUACAUUUGUUGGCCUUAAAUUUCAUAUUACACAAUAAAAUUACAAACACGUAUACACUGAACUACAACAGAUUCCAAAAAUCAAAAUAAUAGCAUUUACUUAUACCUGAUGAAUUUCAAAUGGAAUGAAAACAACUCAUUUCAAAGCCCUGUUUACAACAAACAGUCAUGCAAUUUCAAAUAACCACAUAACCUCCAUAAAAUUGGGUUGAAACCCUGAAUGAAUAGAAUUAACUCUCUUUUUUAUAGAUUUAUUUGUUUUCUAAAAGUCUUUAUACUAAUUAUGUGGGCAUUGUUAAUUAGUAAGACUGAACAAAUCAUCAGUAAUAGUAUAGUGAGGUUAAAAUAAUGUAGAGGCUCUUAAGAACCUGUGUCGCUCACCUGCAUAUUCAACAAUGGACACUUUUUAGUAAAAAUCAUCAUUAAAGUGGAAUAACUCUAUUAAGAGUUAACAGAUAAUUUCAGUCAUGUUCAUGUAUUUGUAGAUCUUAUCCUGCUGAUCAUUUUUCCUUUUAAAAGUUUCCAUUUAAUUAUUUUAGUUUUCAAGAUAAUAGGCAGAAAAUGCAAAAGAUUUUUAACAAGCAUUCUGAGAGUACUGCAUGGCAAUACAUAGUCCCCUACUGGGUAAAAAUUCAUUUUACUGGAACAAAAUGCUAACUUGUUCUAUAACUUUUCAUGGUGUAAACAAAAAGUAAAUAUCAUGUCAAUAUCUACAAGCAUGACUAAAAACAGUGUGGAAAACUGAUUAUAUGAGUGAAAAAAAACAUUAGAUAUGAUUAAUAGUUCUCUAAAAUUAGAUAUGAUGUAAUACAGUGUAUAUCUAUUUUCAAAUUAUAAUCAAAUAUAAUUAAUAGUUCCAAAUAUUUUUUCUUUCAUUUGUUACAAACUAAUAUAGAUUUGUAACUUAUCUAUAAAAUGUCAACAACUUUUAUCUACACAAUGUAAUGUAUUGAAAUAUAUACAUUAAUAAAAAUAGAUUAUUA